Molecule: ribosomal RNA, 433 nt
Filed under: uncultured bacterium
Lineage: Bacteria
Description: partial 16S ribosomal RNA
Rfam family: Bacterial small subunit ribosomal RNA
Source: RNAcentral
AGCGAACGCUGGCGGCAUGCCUAACACAUGCAAGUCGAACGAGACCUUCGGGUCUAGUGGCGCACGGGUGCGUAACGCGUGGGAACCUGCCCUCAGGUUCGGAAUAACUCCCCGAAAGGGGUGCUAAUACCGGAUAAUGUCCUCGGACCAAAGAUUUAUCGCCUUUGGAUGGGCCCGCGUUGGAUUAGCUAGUUGGUAGGGUAAAAGCCUACCAAGGCGACGAUCCAUAGCUGGUCUGAGAGGAUGAUCAGCCACACUGGGACUGAGACACGGCCCAGACUCCUACGGGAGGCAGCAGUGGGGAAUAUUGGACAAUGGGCGAAAGCCUGAUCCAGCAAUGCCGCGUGAGUGAUGAAGGCCUUAGGGUUGUAAAGCUCUUUUACCCGGGAUGAUAAUGACAGUACCGGGAGAAUAAGCUCCGGCUAACUCCGUG